RNAcentral lists this ribosomal RNA (604 nucleotides) under Salinibacterium sp. Its description in RNAcentral is "bacterial SSU rRNA". It matches the Rfam family "Bacterial small subunit ribosomal RNA", at positions 458 to 1061 of the family's 1533-position model. The record is from RNAcentral. Lineage: Bacteria; Bacillati; Actinomycetota; Actinomycetes; Micrococcales; Microbacteriaceae.
AGAAGCGAAAAGUGACGGUACCUGCAGAAAAAGCACCGGCUAACUACGUGCCAGCAGCCGCGGUAAUACGUAGGGUGCAAGCGUUAUCCGGAAUUAUUGGGCGUAAAGAGCUCGUAGGCGGUUUGUCGCGUCUGCUGUGAAAACUGGAGGCUCAACCUCCAGCCUGCAGUGGGUACGGGCAGACUAGAGUGCGGUAGGGGAGAUUGGAAUUCCUGGUGUAGCGGUGGAAUGCGCAGAUAUCAGGAGGAACACCGAUGGCGAAGGCAGAUCUCUGGKCCGUAACUGACGCUGAGGAGCGAAAGCAUGGGGAGCGAACAGGAUUAGAUACCCUGGUAGUCCAUGCCGUAAACGUUGGGAACUAGAUGUAGGGACCAUUCCACGGUUUCUGUGUCGCAGCUAACGCAUUAAGUUCCCCGCCUGGGGAGUACGGCCGCAAGGCUAAAACUCAWAGGAAUUGACGGGGGCCCGCACAAGCGGCGGAGCAUGCGGAUUAAUUCGAUGCAACGCGAAGAACCUUACCAAGGCUURACAUAUACGAGAWCGGGCCAGAAAUGGUCAACUCUUUGGACACUCGUAAACAGGUGGUGCAUGGUGUCGUCAAGCU